Long non-coding RNA from Panonychus citri (citrus red mite), 829 nucleotides. RefSeq lists it as uncharacterized. The record is from RefSeq and is a predicted model, not a curated record. Lineage: Eukaryota; Metazoa; Arthropoda; Arachnida; Trombidiformes; Tetranychidae. The transcript is spliced from 3 exons.
GUGACCAUUUUAAUUACCAUGCCACCCAAGUUAUUAUAUCAACUAAUCAAUUCUAAUUUAACCAAAUUGUAACAAUCAAAUGAAGUAUUAGUUUAAAUAGCCUCAGGCUAAAAAUAAAAUCAAUGGAAAAUAAUAAUCAUAAGAAAUGAUUUAAAGUUCAAUGGAUUCACCUCUCAGAACUGGACACUGGAUCUUGAAAACAAUUGACCAGGUCAAAUGUUAAUUUCUGUUUGUUGAUCUUCACUUGAUUAUGUUUAUCUAGAGAUAUAAACACUUACAAUCAUAUGGUAAUCAUCAACAUCACUGGAAAUCUUCAUAUGAUUACCUCUUGACUUUUAACCAUCCACUGGAUUCCCGAAGUUUACAAAUAUUAUCAUUUAUCAUUUACUCUUAUUAAUAUAAUUAUUAACUUGCUUUCAUCGUUAAUAUCACAUCUUAGUUAUCUGAAGAUCUUAAUUGCUGCUCUUUCCUUCAAACCAAUUUCAAAUUGCAAUAGAAUAUCCGAAAAUCAAUUCAGUAAAUAUUAUCAUCGAAACCUUUAUUUUUUUUUUGCUCAAUGAGUUUGUUUAUUUUUUUAAAUUGUUUGCACAAUUUAAAACUAAUAACUAAACUUCAAGGUUAAUUAUGUAAUUUUCAAUUGUUUUGCAAAUUGACUUCCGAGUGAUUGUUUGAUUAUUUAACUAACAUUACUUACUACUUAUUAAUGGCUAUUAACUACUUGUGAUUAAAUUAAAACCAGUUUGAUUAUCAUUUACCAAUAUGGAGCCAAACAAUUAACAGUUUAAAGUGUAAAUAAUGAUAUGAUAAAGGGCGAAAUUGGAUUGGAAAC